CGAGGGGUGCAAGCGUUGCUCGGAUUUAUUGGGCGUAAAGGGUAGGUAGGUGGUCUCGUUUGUCAGGGGUGAAAUCCCUGGGCUUAACUUAGGAAGUGCCUCUGAAACGGCGAGACUUGAGUCCUGGAGAGGGUCGCGGAAUUCCCGGUGUAGCGGUGAAAUGCGUAGAGAUCGGGAGGAACACCAGAGGCGUAGGCGGCGACCUGGAAAGGCACUGACACUCAACUACGAAAGCGUGGGGAGCAAACAGGAUUAGAUACCCUGGUAGUCCACGCCGUAAACGAUGAGUACUAGGUUUGGUGGGUCUUCGACCCCCGCCGAGCCGGAGCUAACGCAAUAAGUACUCCGCCUGGGAAGUACGGUCGCAAGAACU
This 373-nucleotide ribosomal RNA is filed under the name uncultured organism. RNAcentral's name for it is "bacterial SSU rRNA". It matches the Rfam family "Bacterial small subunit ribosomal RNA", at positions 526 to 896 of the family's 1533-position model. The record is from RNAcentral.